UUUAAAUGUAAAUAAAAACUAAAAGAGUAAUAGUUAAGUUCUUGAAAAUUAAAAAUUUUGGCGGUAUUUUAGUCUAUUCAGAGGAACCUGUCCUGUAAAUGAUAAUCCACGAUUUUAUAUACUUAUUUUAAGUUUUUAUAUCGUUGUAGUUGAUUAUUUUAAAAGAAAUUUAAUAAUCUUUAUUUUUUUUUUAAAAAAAAUAAAUCAGAUCAAGGUGAAGCGUAUAAAUAAGAAGAGAUGGGUUACAAUAAUUUUAAUUAUUUUAGAUAUUAAUUUUAAAAGUUAGUUGAAAUUGGAUUUGAUAGUAAUUUAAUAUAAAUUUUUUAAAUGAUUUAGCUCUAAAAUG
RNAcentral lists this ribosomal RNA (346 nucleotides) under Discolomatinae gen. nr. Parafallia sp. CO938. RNAcentral's name for it is "partial 12S ribosomal RNA". Lineage: Eukaryota; Metazoa; Arthropoda; Insecta; Coleoptera; Discolomatidae. The record is from RNAcentral.